CAGUAGCCGCGGUAAUACGUAGGGUGCGAGCGUUAAUCGGAUUUACUGGGCGUAAAGCGUGCGUAGGCGGCUUCUUAAGUCGGAUGUGAAAUCCCUGAGCUUAACUUAGGAAUUGCAUUCGAUACUGGGAAGCUAGAGUAUGGGAGAGGAUGGUAGAAUUCCAGGUGUAGCGGUGAAAUGCGUAGAGAUCUGGAGGAAUACCGAUGGCGAAGGCAGCCAUCUGGCCUAAUACUGACGCUGAGGUACGAAAGCAUGGGGAGCAAACAGGAUUAGAUACCCGCGUAGUCCCUGUCUCUUAUAC
RNAcentral lists this ribosomal RNA (301 nucleotides) under uncultured bacterium. RNAcentral's name for it is "partial 16S ribosomal RNA". It matches the Rfam family "Bacterial small subunit ribosomal RNA", at positions 509 to 807 of the family's 1533-position model. The record is from RNAcentral.